AACGAACGCUGGCGGCAGGCUUAACACAUGCAAGUCGAGCGAGACCUUCGGGUCUAGCGGCGGACGGGUGAGUAACGCGUGGGAACGUGCCCUUCUCUACGGAAUAGCCCCGGGAAACUGGGAGUAAUACCGUAUACGCCCUUUGGGGGAAAGAUUUAUCGGAGAAGGAUCGGCCCGCGUUGGAUUAGGUAGUUGGUGGGGUAAUGGCCCACCAAGCCGACGAUCCAUAGCUGGUUUGAGAGGAUGAUCAGCCACACUGGGACUGAGACACGGCCCAGACUCCUACGGGAGGCAGCAGUGGGGAAUCUUAGACAAUGGGGGCAACCCUGAUCUAGCCAUGCCGCGUGAGUGAUGAAGGCCUUAGGGUUGUAAAGCUCUUUCAGCUGUGAAGAUAAUGACGGUACCAGCAGAAGAAGCCCCGGCUAACUCCGUG
Molecule: ribosomal RNA, 433 nt
Filed under: uncultured bacterium
Lineage: Bacteria
Description: partial 16S ribosomal RNA
Rfam family: Bacterial small subunit ribosomal RNA
Source: RNAcentral